CAGCAGCCGCGGUAAUACAGAGGAUGCAAGCGUUAUCCGGAAUGAUUGGGCGUAAAGCGUCUGUAGGUGGCUUUUCAAGCCCGCCGUCAAAUCCUAGGGCUCAACCCUGGACAGGCAGUGGAAACUACCAAGCUGGAGUACGGUAGGGGUAGAGGGAAUUUCCGGUGGAGUGGUAAAAUGCGUUGAGAUCGGAAAGAACACCAACGGCGAAAGCACUCUGCUGGGCCGACACUGACACUGAGAGACGAAAGCUAGGGGAGCAAAUGGGAUUAGAUACCCCAGUAGUCCCUGUCUCUUAUAC
Molecule: ribosomal RNA, 301 nt
Filed under: uncultured bacterium
Lineage: Bacteria
Description: partial 16S ribosomal RNA
Rfam family: Bacterial small subunit ribosomal RNA
Source: RNAcentral